GAUGAACGCUGGCGGCGUGCCUAAUACAUGCAAGUCGAGCGAACAGAUGAGGAGCUUGCUCCUCUGACGUUAGCGGCGGACGGGUGAGUAACACGUGGAUAACCUACCUAUAAGACUGGGAUAACUUCGGGAAACCGGAGCUAAUACCGGAUAAUAUAUUGAACCGCAUGGUUCAAUAGUGAAAGACGGUUUUGCUGUCACUUAUAGAUGGAUCCGCGCCGCAUUAGCUAGUUGGUAAGGUAACGGCUUACCAAGGCAACGAUGCGUAGCCGACCUGAGAGGGUGAUCGGCCACACUGGAACUGAGACACGGUCCAGACUCCUACGGGAGGCAGCAGUAGGGAAUCUUCCGUAAUGGGCGAAAGCCUGACGGAGCAACGCCGCGUGAGUGAUGAAGGUCUUCGGAUCGUAAAACUCUGUUAUUAGGAAAGAACAAAUGUGUAAGUAACUAUGCACGUCUUGACGGUACCUAAUCAGAAAGCCACGGCUAACUACGUG
Molecule: ribosomal RNA, 497 nt
Filed under: uncultured bacterium
Lineage: Bacteria
Description: partial 16S ribosomal RNA
Rfam family: Bacterial small subunit ribosomal RNA
Source: RNAcentral